This 249-nucleotide long non-coding RNA is filed under the name Helianthus annuus (common sunflower). Its description in RNAcentral is "sRNA HanXRQr2_Chr12g0553331". Lineage: Eukaryota; Viridiplantae; Streptophyta; Magnoliopsida; Asterales; Asteraceae. The record is from RNAcentral.
GGAGCGGUAGAUCUAUCUGGGUGUAGCGAGCCCAGCCCCCGGCCAAACUAGAAACGGACCGUGGGGUGACUUUGUCCACAUACUUUGCCGUGGCGAAAUCUGCUAGGUUUGAGUCUCCCUAUUUGCACUUCACAUAUGUCAGUGGCCUUGCAAACCAUUGGUUGCAUUUCUAAAACAAGGCACGGUUGGAAUAGGAGGACCAUGAAGAGUCGAGUACUUAGUGGGCGUUCAGUUUCUAGAAAGACUUAG